UACAGGGGGGGCAAGCGUUGUUCGGAAUUACUGGGCGUAAAGGGCUCGUAGGCGGCCAACUAAGUCACACGUGAAAUCCCCAGGCUUAACCUGGGAACUGCGUGUGAUACUGGAUGGCUGGAGUGUGGGAGAGGGAUGCGGAAUUCCAGGUGUAGCGGUGAAAUGCGUAGAUAUCUGGAGGAACACCGGUGGCGAAGGCGGCAUCCUGGACCAUUACUGACACUGAAAAGCGAAAGCCAGGGGAGCAAACGGG
This 253-nucleotide ribosomal RNA is filed under the name uncultured bacterium. RNAcentral's name for it is "partial 16S ribosomal RNA". It matches the Rfam family "Bacterial small subunit ribosomal RNA", at positions 524 to 776 of the family's 1533-position model. The record is from RNAcentral.